Macadamia integrifolia is the source of this 476-nucleotide long non-coding RNA. RefSeq lists it as uncharacterized. Lineage: Eukaryota; Viridiplantae; Streptophyta; Magnoliopsida; Proteales; Proteaceae. The transcript is spliced from 3 exons. The record is from RefSeq and is a predicted model, not a curated record.
GAAAAGAGAAAGAAGAAGAAGAAGAAGAGAGGAGAAGAAGAGAAGGGAAGAGAGAGAAAUUGCUUAGAGAUCGAUUUUCUUGGGAGAUUGCUUGAGGAUUCAGCAAAAAGGAAUCCCAGAUAUCCGUGAGAGAGAUUCCUCGGCACCAAGAGAGAUUGUGGGCCCUGAUAUUCACUAUGAUGAUGCAGCUAUGGUCAUGCCUAUGGCUUGUGACUCUCUUUCUUCCAGACCCAAGUACGGAGUGAGCAACCAGUGGAUGUCGGAAGCAGGAAACAUGACAAGGAUUGUGCCUGUAAUGUCUGUGCAUACGCGGCACCAUGAGAUGUUUGGCGUGUUUUGAUAUUCAAAUACAGAUUUGUGGAUGGUAUACUUUGAACUUAAUAUUUAUAACUCUCAAAUGUUUGUAAAUAGAUAAAUUGGUUAUGGAUAUUUACAGCAUCACUCGAUGUUCCCCAUUCUACUUAUGAUUCCGCUAU